GAUGAACGCUGGCGGUAUGCUUAACACAUGCAAGUCGAACGGACUCUUCGGAGUUAGUGGCGGACGGGUGAGUAACACGUGAGAAUCUGGCUUUGGGUUCGGGACAACCGCUGGAAACGGUGGCUAAUACCGGAUGUGCCGAGAGGUAAAAGAGAAAUUGCCUGAAGAUGAGCUCGCGUCUGAUUAGCUAGUUGGUGAGGUAAAGGCUCACCAAGGCAGCGAUCAGUAGCUGGUCUGAGAGGAUGACCAGCCACACUGGGACUGAGACACGGCCCAGACUCCUACGGGAGGCAGCAGUGGGGAAUUUUCCGCAAUGGGCGAAAGCCUGACGGAGCAAUACCGCGUGAGGGAAGAAGGCUCUUGGGUUGUAAACCUCUUUUCUUAGGGAAGAACAAAAUGACGGUACCUAAGGAAUCAGCAUCGGCUAACUCCGUG
RNAcentral lists this ribosomal RNA (435 nucleotides) under uncultured bacterium. Its description in RNAcentral is "partial 16S ribosomal RNA". It matches the Rfam family "Bacterial small subunit ribosomal RNA", at positions 28 to 507 of the family's 1533-position model. The record is from RNAcentral.